GGUUCCAUAGUGUAGCGGUUAGCACAUAUGCUUUACACACAGAGGUCCUGUGUUCGCACCCCAGUGGAGCCA
RNAcentral lists this transfer RNA (72 nucleotides) under Pteropus alecto (black flying fox). It matches the Rfam family "tRNA". Rfam says of the family: Transfer RNA (tRNA) molecules are approximately 80 nucleotides in length. Their secondary structure includes four short double-helical elements and three loops (D, anti-codon, and T loops). The record is from Rfam by way of RNAcentral. RNAcentral also lists the same sequence under 1 other name. Lineage: Eukaryota; Metazoa; Chordata; Mammalia; Chiroptera; Pteropodidae.